This 305-nucleotide unclassified non-coding RNA is filed under the name fungal sp. Its description in RNAcentral is "partial internal transcribed spacer region". The record is from RNAcentral. Lineage: Eukaryota; Fungi.
AAGUCGUAACAAGGUUUCCGUAGGUGAACCUGGAAAGAUCAUUAACACGUAUCCAAACGUUAAAACCCCCCCCGUGAACCUUCAUCCUGCUCUUGUAACCCGCGUAGUUCGCAAUCUCUGUGUCGGAAGUGUCAUUGAUUGUGCAAGGAUAGCGCUUCUACGAUUCCUGUAGACCGUACACUCGGGCAGGAGCUUUGCCAAAGGGUCCCCAUGCCCCCUAUAACCCCACAGUUUAAUGUGAAGCUCAAUGUAAUACAUUGGGUAAAAAAACCGAACAACUGUUAACAAUGGAUAUCUUGGUUCUC